RNAcentral lists this ribosomal RNA (442 nucleotides) under uncultured bacterium. RNAcentral describes it as "SSU rRNA". It matches the Rfam family "Bacterial small subunit ribosomal RNA", at positions 26 to 518 of the family's 1533-position model. The record is from RNAcentral.
AGAACGAACGCUGGCGGCAGGCUUAACACAUGCAAGUCGAACGCCCCGCAAGGGGAGUGGCAGACGGGUGAGUAACGCGUGGGAAUCUACCUGGUUCUACGGAAUAACUGAGGGAAACUUCAGCUAAUACCGUAUACGCCCUAAGGGGGAAAGAUUUAUCGGUGCCAGAUGAGCCCGCGUUGGAUUAGCUAGUUGGUGGGGUAAUGGCCUACCAAGGCGACGAUCCAUAGCUGGUCUGAGAGGAUGAUCAGCCACACUGGGACUGAGACACGGCCCAGACUCCUACGGGAGGCAGCAGUGGGGAAUAUUGGACAAUGGGCGAAAGCCUGAUCCAGCCAUGCCGCGUGAGUGAUGAAGGCCUUAGGGUUGUAAAGCUCUUUCAGUGGGGAAGAUAAUGACGGUACCACAGAAGAAGCCCGGCUAACUUCGUGCCAGCAGCCGC